Molecule: ribosomal RNA, 251 nt
Filed under: uncultured bacterium
Lineage: Bacteria
Description: partial 16S ribosomal RNA
Rfam family: Bacterial small subunit ribosomal RNA
Source: RNAcentral
UAUGGCUAGUGGCGAACGGGUGAGUAAUGCAUAAGUAAUUUGCCCCUCAGUCUGGGAUAGCCCUUCGAAAGGGGGAUUAAUACCGGAUACUCUCUCUCUUCCGAUGGUGGAGAGAGGAAAGGUCCGCCGCUGAGGGAGAAGCUUGUGUCCGAUUAGCUAGUUGGUAGGGUAAAGGCCUACCAAGGCGAUGAUCGGUAGCUGGUCUGAGAGGAUGAUCAGCCACACUGGGACUGAGACACGGCCCAGACUCC